This is a long non-coding RNA of Hordeum vulgare subsp. vulgare (domesticated barley), 423 nucleotides long. RefSeq lists it as uncharacterized. The transcript has 3 exons. Lineage: Eukaryota; Viridiplantae; Streptophyta; Magnoliopsida; Poales; Poaceae. The record is from RefSeq and is a predicted model, not a curated record.
CCCGACGCGCUCGAUCGGAGCUCCGACGCCUACGCGCGCAACAUCGCCGCCGUCGGCGGCCUCCUCUCCGACCUGUGCUCCCGCGUCUCCCAGGUGCUGGGUGGAGGAGGCGCGGGGGCGGUGAAGCGGAACGAAGGACGGGGGAAGCUGCUCCCCAGGGACUGUAUCGACCGCCUGCUCGGACCCAGGGCCUUCUUCCUCGAGCUCUCUCAGAUUCUAGCCUUCAUUCUUUAAAAUUUGGGUGUACAUGAGCUCUAGGAAGAAGAAUCCCGAAGAAAACCCACUCGCACCAAUCCAUUUUAGCUCACAUGAGCUAGUUAUGUGUAUAUUUAGUUGUAUUUUAUAGCUGAGUACCAUAUUUGUACUAUGUGUGAUUUUAGUGUACUUUGCGUGUUGUUGUAUGAAAUAUUAUGCCUUAUUGUC